Molecule: ribosomal RNA, 440 nt
Filed under: uncultured bacterium
Lineage: Bacteria
Description: partial 16S ribosomal RNA
Rfam family: Bacterial small subunit ribosomal RNA
Source: RNAcentral
CCUACGGGAGGCAGCAGUGGGGAAUAUUGCACAAUGGCGGAAACCCUGAUGCAGCGACGCCGCGUGAGUGAAGACGUAACUCGUUAUGUUAAGCUCUAUCAGCAGGGAAGAAAAUGACGGUACCUGAGUCAGAUGCCCCGGCUAACUACGUGCCAGCAGCCGCGGUAAUACGGAGGGGGCAAGCGUUAUCCGGAUUUACUGGGUGUAAAGGGAGCGUAGACGGCAGGGCAAGUCUGGAGGGAAAGGCGGGGGCCCAACCCCCGGACUGCUCUUGAAACUGUACGGCUGGAGUGCAGGAGAGGUAAGUGGAAUGCGUAGUGUAGCGGUGAAAUGCGUAGAUAUUAGGAGGAACACCAGUUGCGAAGGCGGCUUACUGGACUGUAACUGACGUUGAGGCUCGAAAGCGUGGGGAGCAAACAGGAUUAGAUACCCUAGUAGUC